RNAcentral lists this ribosomal RNA (253 nucleotides) under uncultured bacterium. Its description in RNAcentral is "partial 16S ribosomal RNA". It matches the Rfam family "Bacterial small subunit ribosomal RNA", at positions 524 to 776 of the family's 1533-position model. The record is from RNAcentral.
UACAGGGGGUGCAAACGUUGCUCGGAAUUAUUGGGCGUAAAGAGCUCGUAGGCGGUCUGUCGCGUCGAAUGUGAAAACCCGGGGCUCAACUCCGGGCUUGCAUUCGAUACGGGCAGGCUAGAGUUCGGUAGGGGAGUCUGGAAUUCCUGGUGUAGCGGUGAAAUGCGCAGAUAUCAGGAGGAACACCGGUGGCGAAGUCGGGACUCUGGGCCGAUACUGACGCUGAGGAGCGAAAGCGUGGGGAGCGAACAGG